GGACGUGAGGGUGACCUGGCUGUAACAGCUGUCACCCCAUCAAUCACCAGGAUUGAUUCGGCUGGUCUGACAGCUAGGCGGGUGUCCCCUUCCUCGAUCACCACUCCACGUGUGUCCUUCCCUCAGAGGCGUGCUCUCUGUCAAAGAGGAUGACCUUUCCUGAGAGAGGAGGACAGCUCUUUGGUUAAGGAUAUUCGAGUAGCUAUGCUCCUCCGCUAGAACCUCCCUACAGGCUCUCAAAAUGAUAGAUUCUAUUCACAACAAACCCAUUCUGGUUAUGAUUUUUGCAACUGGUGAUGAGUUUGCAAACUAUGCUCAAAUAUAACUAUUCAUUAUCAGUU
This 341-nucleotide small nuclear RNA is filed under the name Sus scrofa (pig). RNAcentral describes it as "7SK RNA (ENSSSCG00070020298.1)". It matches the Rfam family "7SK RNA". From Rfam's summary of the family: 7SK was discovered as an abundant small nuclear RNA in the mid-70s but a possible function has only recently been suggested. Two independent studies have found that 7SK RNA binds the CDK9/cyclin T complex (known as elongation factor P-TEFb). The record is from RNAcentral. Lineage: Eukaryota; Metazoa; Chordata; Mammalia; Artiodactyla; Suidae.